GAGAAAAUAGUUUAAUAAAAAUAUCUUAUUUACGAUAAGAAGAAUCUGAAAUGAUUUUCUUC
RNAcentral lists this transfer RNA (62 nucleotides) under Goniodes ortygis. RNAcentral's name for it is "tRNA-Val". Lineage: Eukaryota; Metazoa; Arthropoda; Insecta; Psocodea; Philopteridae. The record is from RNAcentral.